AUGGGUCAAGUUGGACGGUCCA
RNAcentral lists this non-coding RNA (22 nucleotides) under Arabidopsis thaliana (thale cress). The record is from RNAcentral. Lineage: Eukaryota; Viridiplantae; Streptophyta; Magnoliopsida; Brassicales; Brassicaceae.